GACGAACGCUGGCGGCGUGCCUAAUACAUGCAAGUUGAGCGAUGAAGCUUGGUGCUUGCACCAAUUUGAAGAGCAGCGAACGGGUGAGUAACGCGUGGGUAAUCUGCCUUUGAGCGGGGGACAACAUUUGGAAACGAAUGCUAAUACCGCAUAACAACUUUAAACAUAAGUUUCAAGUUUGAAAGAUGCAAUUGCAUCACUCAAAGAUGAUCCCGCGUUGUAUUAGCUAGUUGGUGAGGUAAAGGCCCACCAAGGCGAUGAUACAUAGCCGACCUGAGAGGGUGGUCGGCCACAAUGGGACUGGGACACGGCCCAAACUCCUACGGGGAGCAGCAGUAGGGAAUCUUCGGCAAUGGACGGAAGGCUGACCGAGCAACGCCGCGGGGGUGAAGAAGGGUUUCGGGUCGUAAAACUCUGUUGGUAGGGAAGAACGUUGGUGAGAGUGAAAAGCUCAUCAAGUGACGGUAACUACCCAGAAAGGGACGGCUAACUACGUG
Molecule: ribosomal RNA, 497 nt
Filed under: uncultured bacterium
Lineage: Bacteria
Description: partial 16S ribosomal RNA
Rfam family: Bacterial small subunit ribosomal RNA
Source: RNAcentral